This 497-nucleotide ribosomal RNA is filed under the name uncultured bacterium. RNAcentral describes it as "partial 16S ribosomal RNA". It matches the Rfam family "Bacterial small subunit ribosomal RNA", at positions 28 to 507 of the family's 1533-position model. The record is from RNAcentral.
GAUGAACGCUGGCGGCGUGCCUAAUACAUGCAAGUCGAGCGAACAGACGAUGCGCUUGCUCCUCUCACGUUAGCGGCGGACGUGUGAGUCACACGUGGAUAAUCUACUUAUCAGACUGGGAUAACUUCGGGAAACCGGAGCUAAUCCCGGAUAAUAUAUUGAACCGCGUGGUGCAAUAGUGAGAGACGGUGUUGCUGUCACUUAUAGAUGGAUCCCGGCCGCAUUAGCUAGUUGGUAAGGUAACGGCUUACCAAGGCAACGAUGCGUAGCCGACCGGAGAGGCUGGUCGGCCGCACGGGAGCUGAGCCAGCGUCCAGACUCCUACGGGAGGCAGCAGAAGGGAAUCUGACGCAAUGGGCGAAAGCCUGACGCAGCAACGCCGCGUGAGUGGUGAAGGUCCUCGGAUCGUGAAGCCGUGCUAUUAGGGAUGAACCAAUGUGGAAGUAACUAUGGACGUCGUGACGGUACCUAGUAAGAAAGCCACGGCUAACUACGUG